This 218-nucleotide ribosomal RNA is filed under the name uncultured bacterium. Its description in RNAcentral is "partial 16S ribosomal RNA". It matches the Rfam family "Bacterial small subunit ribosomal RNA", at positions 328 to 539 of the family's 1533-position model. The record is from RNAcentral.
ACGCUCGACACCUACGUGAGGCAGCAGUGAGGAAUAUUGGUCAAUGGGCGCUAGCCUGAACCAGCCAAGUAGCGUGAAGGAUGAAGGCUCUAUGGGUCGUAAACUUCUUUUAUAUAAGAAUAAAGUGCAGUAUGUAUACUGUUUUGUAUGUAUUAUAUGAAUAAGGAUCGGCUAACUCCGUGCCUGCAGCCGCGGUAAUCUGAGCGGGCUGGCAAGGC